Molecule: ribosomal RNA, 629 nt
Filed under: uncultured fungus
Lineage: Eukaryota; Fungi
Description: eukaryotic LSU rRNA
Rfam family: 5.8S ribosomal RNA (bases 215-369)
Source: RNAcentral
GACCUGCGGAGGAUCAUUAUUGAAAUUAUUGGUGAGGGUUGUAGCUGGCCUUUCGGGGCAUGUGCACGCCCGAGCCCUUAAUCCACUUUACACCUGUGCACUUAAUGUAGGUCACCCUUGAAAAGGUGACCUAUGUCUUAUCAUCAACCCAUAGUAUGUCCAAUAGAAUGUGAAUCGAUAUCCUCGCCCUAAAAAAGCGUUGAUAAACUUAUACAACUUUCAACAACGGAUCUCUUGGCUCUCGCAUCGAUGAAGAACGCAGCGAAAUGCGAUAAGUAAUGUGAAUUGCAGAUUUUCAGUGAAUCAUCGAAUCUUUGAACGCACCUUGCGCUCCUUGGUAUUCCGAGGAGCAUGCCUGUUUGAGUAUCAUUAAAUUCUCAACUCCAAGGGUUUCACGACCUCUCGGAGAUUGGACUUGGAGGUGCCGGCCGCAUACGGUCGGCUCCUCUCAAAUGCAUUGGCGGAAUUCAACCUUUGGGCUUCCGGACGUCAGUGUGAUAAUCAUGUUGCGCUGUCGUUUGACCCUCAGAGUCCGCUUAUAAUGGUCUUCGGACAAAUCAUCAUCAAAUUUGAUCUCAAAUCAGGUAGGACUACCCGCUGAACUUAAGCAUAUCAAUAAGCCGGAGGAA